CCCCUUCUGUUCAGUCGGUAGAGCAUGAGACUCUUUAUCUCAGGGUCGUGGGUUCAUGCCCCACGUUGGGCA
RNAcentral lists this transfer RNA (72 nucleotides) under Erinaceus europaeus (western European hedgehog). It matches the Rfam family "tRNA". Rfam says of the family: Transfer RNA (tRNA) molecules are approximately 80 nucleotides in length. Their secondary structure includes four short double-helical elements and three loops (D, anti-codon, and T loops). Further hydrogen bonds mediate the characteristic L-shaped molecular structure. tRNAs have two regions of fundamental functional importance: the anti-codon, which is responsible for specific mRNA codon recognition, and the 3' end, to which the tRNAs corresponding amino acid is attached (by aminoacyl-tRNA synthetases). tRNAs cope with the degeneracy of the genetic code in two manners: having more than one tRNA (with a specific anti-codon) for a particular amino acid; and 'wobble' base-pairing, i.e. permitting non-standard base-pairing at the 3rd anti-codon position. Lineage: Eukaryota; Metazoa; Chordata; Mammalia; Eulipotyphla; Erinaceidae. The record is from Rfam by way of RNAcentral.